RNAcentral lists this long non-coding RNA (504 nucleotides) under Oryctolagus cuniculus (rabbit). Its description in RNAcentral is "lncRNA (ENSOCUG00000034106.1)". Lineage: Eukaryota; Metazoa; Chordata; Mammalia; Lagomorpha; Leporidae. The record is from RNAcentral.
AUGCGGGGGUAUGGGAACCAUCCCAUCCUGCACUGCUACUCUGGAGUCUGGCCCUGCAGCUCCUCACAUGGUCCACACCUCGGGACGCAUCCACGGAAAACAAACAGGCUCAGCCAAGGCAGCAGCGGCCAGAGGACCACGCCAGCAGCCACGGGGGAAUUCAGGGAUGGAACCAGGGCUGGGACUCGGAGCCACAUUUUAUAUGAAACUGAAACUCUCCAGCCGCGCCGCGCCGGAGCUGCUGCUUGUUCCGUGUGCCAGGUCGGGAACCCGGAAGAUAGAAAGCAAAAAACGUUGCCACGUCCUUUAACCUCCUUCUGGUAUCCGGUGUCCAACGCGGGAGCACAGAUCUCACCGUGUAUCAGCACUUCCCAGAUGUGCCUACGUGAAGAGCACCUGGGGACCCGUGGACUGGGUCAGUGGGGGAGUGCAGUCUGUCCUGCGGGCGGCCGGCUGACAGCCCCGAGCAGAUCACUGCGCCCAGGGCGCGGCAGCUUCUUCUGA